RNAcentral lists this ribosomal RNA (440 nucleotides) under uncultured bacterium. RNAcentral describes it as "partial 16S ribosomal RNA". It matches the Rfam family "Bacterial small subunit ribosomal RNA", at positions 338 to 795 of the family's 1533-position model. The record is from RNAcentral.
CCUACGGGUGGCAGCAAUGGGGAAUAUUGCACAAUGGGGGAAACUCUGAUGCAGCGACGCCGCGUGAGUGAAGACGUAAUUCUUUAUUUAAAGCUCUAUCAGCAGGGAAGAAAAUGACGGUACCUGAGUAAGAAUCCCCGGCUAACUUCGUGCCAGCAGCCGCGGUAAUACGUAGGGGGCAAGCGUUAUCCGGAUUUACUGGGUGUAAAGGGAGCGUAGACGGCAGUGCAAGUCUGGAGUGAAAGGCGGGGGCUCAACCCCCGGACUGCUCUGGAAACUGUACGGCUGGAGUGCAGGAGAGGUAAGUGGAAUUCCUAGUGUAGCGGUGAAAUGCGUAGAUAUUAGGAGGAACACCAGUGGCGAAGGCGGCUUACUGGACUGUAACUGACGUUGAGGCUCGAAAGCGUGGGGAGCAAACAGGAUUAGAUACCCUUGUAGUC